AAGAAAUUUCAAAAGCAUGUGGAGAAAAUUGUCAAAAUAGAGUUUCACAGAUUUCUUGCUUCCAGUCAAGAAUUUCAAUUCAGUGGAAUCGAGAAAAUCAAAAGAUGGGAAGAGUGUAUAAACUUCAUCUGGAGGAUUUGAUGUCUAAGACGAGCAAAGCAACAAACGUGCAAAUCCUAGUGACUGAUGAAGCAUCAAUAAAUAUCGGGAAUGUAUCCG
Non-coding RNA from Styela clava, 219 nucleotides. NCBI's taxonomy places the organism in Eukaryota, Metazoa, Chordata, Ascidiacea, Stolidobranchia, Styelidae. The record is from RefSeq and is a predicted model, not a curated record.